UAAGUAAGUGGUGGAAGAGGAACCAAAUGGGAUCCCUUAAGGAGUUGCGAAUGAACAAGGGGAUGCUCAGCUUGAAAAAGGGGCCCUGGGCUUUGAGUUGUAAUUUUCAAAUGUGUUGCCAAUGGAGGUGCAGGUGCAAGCCUAUUGAAAGGAAGCGUCAACGAGGGUGAAGUUCCUGUCUGUCAUUUGCAACCCUCCGUGCACGGUGCAUGUUUGAUGAGUCACACUCCUUGGCAUUGGAAUGCAAAGUGGGUGGUAACUUCCAAGGAAAGGAAAAUAUAAAGUUGAGACUGAUAGCACACAAGUACCAUGCGGGAAAUAUGAAAAGGACUUUGAAAAGGGGAUUAAAAGAGUCUGCAUUUGAUGAACGGGAAGCAAACGGAAUCAGCAUGGCUUGGCAAGAUUGUUGCAUGCGCAUGCUCCAAGGAAGCAAACAUGCGGGUGUAAUGGGUCUUUCCUUGCGAUGUCAGCACUCGUCCCUGCGCAUCAUUACCCUUGCGUGUGAAUGGUACUGUGCCUGCGGGCUGUGGAACAUAUGCGUCUUGCAAUGAUUCGUGGCUUGAUUCAUGCGUAGGGUGCUUGGCUAGCGCAUUCAUGAUGACGAGGCAAGUUGCCUUUCCUCAUGCGCAAGCAUACCUCUGCGUCUCGGUGCUGGCAAAACGAUCCGCUUGACCCGUCUUGAAACACGGACCAAGGAGUCUAACAGGUGUGCAAGGUUGUAGGCGAUGAAACUUCCACGUGGAAUGAAAGUGAUGGCUGGGAUAUUUGCACCAGCGGCCGACUGAUUGGAAGACAAAGGUUCGAGUUUGAGCACACCUCUUAGGACCCGAAAGAUGGUGAACUAUGCCUGAACAGAAUGAAGUCAGAGGAAGCUCUGAUGGAAGUGCGUAGCGAUA
RNAcentral lists this ribosomal RNA (896 nucleotides) under Alexandrium sp. 1 TN-2020. Its description in RNAcentral is "partial 28S ribosomal RNA". It matches the Rfam family "Eukaryotic large subunit ribosomal RNA", at positions 43 to 885 of the family's 3401-position model. Lineage: Eukaryota; Dinophyceae; Gonyaulacales; Pyrocystaceae. The record is from RNAcentral.